Molecule: long non-coding RNA, 1071 nt
Filed under: Homo sapiens (human)
Lineage: Eukaryota; Metazoa; Chordata; Mammalia; Primates; Hominidae
Description: HSALNT0073466
Source: RNAcentral
CUCAAAUCUCAUCUUGUAGCUCCCAUAAUUCCCACAUGUGGGGACCCAGUGGGAGAUGACUGAAUCAUGGGGGCGGGUCUUUCCUGUGCUGUUCUCAUGAUUGUGAAUGGGUCUCACGAGAUCUGACGAGAUAUGAUGGUUUUAAAAGCAGGAGUUUCUCCACACAAACACUCUCUAUGCCUGCUGCCGUGCACGUAAGAUGUGAUGUGCUCUUCCUUGCCUUCCACCAUGAUUGUGAGGCCUCCCCAGCCAGGUGGAACUGUGAGUGGAUUAAACCUCUUUCUUUUGUUAAUUGCCCAGUUUCAGGUAUGUCUUUAUCAGUGGCGUGAAAACAGAUUAAUACAGUCUUGCUCUGUCACCCAGGCUGGAGUGUAGUGGCACGAUGACAGCUUACUGCAACCUCUGCCUCCCACGCUCAAGCGAUCUUCCCACAUCAGCCUCAAGUAGCUGAGACUACAGUCCUGCACCACUGGGUUUCAUCACGUUGCCCAGGCUGGUCUCAAACUUCUGGACUCAAAUGAUCCUCCCGCCUUGGCUCUCAAAGUGCUGGAAUUACAGUAUGUGUAGCUGUUUGACUUCGUUUUUUGAAGAUAGAGACACAUUUGCCAUGAAGCUUAAGUUCAGGACCCCUCGCUAGCAUGGGCAUCUCCCCUGGAAUGUAUCCAUAUGGCCAUAUGUUUCUACAAAGGCUGCAAAGGUGAGAUUAAGGUAAGAUCGUUUGACUACAAUUCCUUUCCACUCUGAUUUUCUUCCUUACACUUCCCUUCAUGUUAAUACGAUGUUAGCAUGAUGGAUAUAAGUGGCUGAAAGCAUUUUUGGGGUCUGAAUAAGAGGAAGUAGAGCUCUGAAUAUAUUUAGUUUGGGUUUAGUGGGAUAUAUUUAUGUGGUUUCUAGGCUGUCCAUGUGUAGUUAAGUUAUCAUUAGCCAUCCCAGUAGAGGAUGGCUUCCAGGAAUACUCCUGCCCACUGUCUGAGUCACCUGUGGUGGUGACGUAAAGGUGCAGAACCAAAGGUCAUCUCAUAUAUGAAUGUGUUCUAUGGCAUGCAGAACCAAAAGUAUGUGGAAGUGGAU